UUUUUAGGUUGUUGGAAAGUUGUUGUUUCAUCAAUAGGCACCAUAACAAGAUCAAGCGGUUACUCUUGAUAUGUCACACAUGGGUGUGGUUUAUUUGGAGGGUGCGUAAUGAUUUUAUUUUCUUGGGAGUGAUUCCGAAGUUGAAUGAAGUAGUUGAUGCCAUCAAAAACAUCUCUUGGAAAUGGUUUGUAUAAUAAGAAAACCCUUAAUGUGGGUUCUAUGAGUGUUUUGUAAACCCUUUUGGUUUCUUCUUAGUAUUUUGGGCGUUUUAGUUUAUGGAUUUAGUACCACAUGUACUCUUUCCCUUUUGUAGGAAUUGAGUGCGAACGUGGAGCAUUUUCUCUCCUUGGAAAAGCUGAUUGUACAUGAUUCCGAAGUAGAAAAUAUAUUUUGUCUCAAUGAAGUAAGUGAGCAGCAGAUGAACUUUGGGUUGCAAGACAUUGAGUUGCAUAAUCUACCUAUGAUAACAUGUCUU
RNAcentral lists this long non-coding RNA (475 nucleotides) under Medicago truncatula (barrel medic). RNAcentral's name for it is "lncRNA gene15017". The record is from RNAcentral. Lineage: Eukaryota; Viridiplantae; Streptophyta; Magnoliopsida; Fabales; Fabaceae.